AAUGUCUAGUUUGUAUUCCUCAUUUUUCCUAAUUUUGUCGCGAAAUCAGCUGUGAAAAUAUUUAGGGCCCGAACUAUCUUUUUCACCUGAAAUCGAUUUUUUCAAAAACUAUAUUGAUGAAUACCUUCUUAUUUGGUAAUAAAUACACUGUUAGAAAGCCUCCUCCAAGAAGAUCUAAGAUAUUGUCCCAACAUGCAGAUAUUUAUAACAAGUAUUUAAAUUCAGAAACUCUCCCAGAAAAUGAUUUCAAAAUUAAAUUGGGAAAUAAAGAAUUCAUGUUGAGCAAUCAUAAAUGGAAGAUUAAUAAUUUAGAGAAUAAUAAAGAGGAAGAUGAAAAUGUCGAAGCUAUGAAUUUAAAAAUUAAAAACGAAAUUUUAUUAAAUAUGCUAACCCAAUUAUCUGCAGAAUUUCAAUUUAUUGAACAGGAAAUUAAAAAAAACUCCAAAAAUAUUUAAAAUGUCAAAUUAACUUGAAUGAUAUUCAAAUAGAUUUUCCAUAUAUAUAAAUGUUAAAUUUUUGAAUGCUAGUAAUUUUUUAAAAUUAACUAUUCUUUUUUUUAAAUAUUUCUAUUAACAAUAACCUCUAUAAAAUUCUGAGAAAUCACUUAUUCAGUAUUAUUGAACAAGA
Molecule: long non-coding RNA, 627 nt
Organism: Gordionus sp. m RMFG-2023
Lineage: Eukaryota; Metazoa; Nematomorpha; Gordioida; Chordodea; Parachordodidae
Exons: 3
Source: RefSeq, a predicted model, not a curated record